RNAcentral lists this ribosomal RNA (596 nucleotides) under uncultured Nitrosopumilales archaeon. RNAcentral's name for it is "bacterial SSU rRNA". It matches the Rfam family "Archaeal small subunit ribosomal RNA", at positions 325 to 922 of the family's 1478-position model. The record is from RNAcentral. Lineage: Archaea; Thermoproteati; Nitrososphaerota; Nitrososphaeria; Nitrosopumilales.
ACGGGGUGCAGCAGGCGCGAAACCUUUGCAAUGUGCGCAAGCACGACAAGGUUAAUCCGAGUGAUUCCUGCUAAAGGAAUCUUUUGUUAGUCUUAAAAUCACUAUUGAAUAAGGGGUGGGCAAGUUCUGGUGUCAGCCGCCGCGGUAAAACCAGCACCUCAAGUGGUCAGGAGGAUUAUUGGGCCUAAAGCAUCCGUAGCCUGCUCUGUAAGUUUCCGGUUAAAUCCAUUAGCUCAACUAAUGGCCUGCCGGAAAUACUGCAGAGCUAGGAAGUGGGAGAGGUAGACGGUACUCGGUAGGAAGGGGUAAAAUCCUUUGAUCUAUUGAUGACCACCUGUGGCGAAGGCGGUCUACCAGAACACGUUCGACGGUGAGGGAUGAAAGCUGGGGGAGCAAACCGGAUUAGAUACCCGGGUAGUCCCAGCUGUAAACGAUGCAGACUCGGUGAUGCCCUGGCUUGUGGCCAGUGCAGUGCCGCAGGGAAGCCGUUAAGUUUGCCGCCUGGGAAGUACGUACGCAAGUAUGAAACUUAAAGGAAUUGGCGGGGGAGCACCACAAGGGGUGAAGCCUGCGGUUCAAUUGGAGUCAACGCCGGG